AUUGAACGCUGGCGGCAGGCCUAACACAUGCAAGUCGAACGGUAGCACAGAGAGCUUGCUCUCGGGUGACGAGUGGCGGACGGGUGAGUAAUGUCUGGGAAACUGCCCGAUGGAGGGGGAUAACUACUGGAAACGGUAGCUAAUACCGCAUAACGUCGCAAGACCAAAGUGGGGGACCUUCGGGCCUCACACCAUCGGAUGUGCCCAGAUGGGAUUAGCUAGUAGGUGGGGUAAGGGCUCACCUAGGCGACGAUCCCUAGCUGGUCUGAGGGGAUGACCAGCCACACUGGAACUGAGACACGGUCCAGAUUCCUACGGGAGUCAGCAGUGGGGAAUAUUGCACAAUGGGCGCAAGCCUGAUGCAGCCAUGCCGCGUGUAUGAAGAAGGCCUUCGGGUUGUAAAGGACUUUCAGCGGGGAGGAAGGCGGUGAAGUUAAUAACUUCACCGAUUGACGUUACCCGCAGAAGAAGCACCGGCUAACUCCGUGCCAGCAGCCGCCGUAA
RNAcentral lists this ribosomal RNA (504 nucleotides) under uncultured bacterium. Its description in RNAcentral is "partial 16S ribosomal RNA". It matches the Rfam family "Bacterial small subunit ribosomal RNA", at positions 30 to 523 of the family's 1533-position model. The record is from RNAcentral.